Molecule: ribosomal RNA, 489 nt
Filed under: uncultured bacterium
Lineage: Bacteria
Description: partial 16S ribosomal RNA
Rfam family: Bacterial small subunit ribosomal RNA
Source: RNAcentral
CAGGCCUAACACAUGCAAGUCGAACGGUAGCACAGAGAGCUUGCUCUCGGGUGACGAGUGGCGGACGGGUGAGUAACGUCUGGGAAACUGCCCGAUGGAGGGGGAUAACUACUGGAAACGACUGUUAAUACCGCAUAAUGUCUACGGACCAAAGUGUGGGACCUUCGGGCCACAUGCUAUCGGAUGCGCCUACGUGGGAUUAGCUAGUUGGUGAGGUAAUGGCUCACCAAGGCGACGAUCUCUAGCUGGUUUGAGAGGAUGAUCAGCCACACUGGAACUGAGACACGGUCCAGACUCCUACGGGAGGCAGCAGUGGGGAAUAUUGGACAAUGGGCGCAAGCCUGAUCCAGCCAUGCCGCGUGUGUGAAGAAGGCCUUCGGGUUGUAAAGCACUUUCAGCGAGGAGGAAGGGGUUGUAGUUAAUAGCUGCAACCUUUGACGUUACUCGCAGAAGAAGCACCGGCUAACUCUGUGCCAGCCGCCGCGGUAA